UCGGGAAUUUUGGGCAAUGGGCGAAAGCCUGACCCAGCAACGCCGCGUGAAGGAUGAAGUAUUUCGGUAUGUAAACUUCGUAAGAAUAGGAAGAAUAAAUGACGGUACUAUUUGUAAGGUCCGGCUAACUACGUGCCAGCAGCCGCGGUAAUACGUAGGGACCAAGCGUUGUUCGGAUUUACUGGGCGUAAAGGGCGCGUAGGCGGCGUGGUAAGUCAUCUGUGAAAUCUCCGAGCUUAACUCGGAACGGUCAGAUGAUACUGCUGUGCUAGAGUACAGAAGGGGCAAUCGGAAUUCUUGGUGUAGCGGUGAAAUGCGUAGAUAUCAAGAGGAACACCUGAGGUGAAGACGGGUUGCUGGGCUGAUACUGACGCUGAGGCGCGAAAGCUAGGGUAGCAAACGGGAUUAGAUACCCCGGUAGUCCCUGAGCGGGCUGGCAAGGCGCAU
This 447-nucleotide ribosomal RNA is filed under the name uncultured bacterium. RNAcentral describes it as "bacterial SSU rRNA". It matches the Rfam family "Bacterial small subunit ribosomal RNA", at positions 355 to 825 of the family's 1533-position model. The record is from RNAcentral.